Anas platyrhynchos (mallard) is the source of this 1815-nucleotide non-coding RNA. Lineage: Eukaryota; Metazoa; Chordata; Aves; Anseriformes; Anatidae. The record is from RefSeq and is a predicted model, not a curated record.
GACUGCUUGGGGUUAGGCUGGGCAUCGGUCAGCGGGUGAUGUACAAGUCCUCAGCUUCACUGUAUCUUUAUUCAUGUUCAAGAUGGGUUUGAAGCAUCUUUAAAUCCUUGGUUGAGUUCUGCUUCUUUUUGCAGCAAAGGUUGCACAACCUGUGGAAGUUUCCGAAAGGUUGAGAAGUGCUCUUCUCUCUCUCAGUAAAUCACAAUGUUACAGGAACUGGUCAGAGAAACUUCUUUAGAACUCUGAAUUUAAGAAAGCCCAAUUAAAGAAAGCUGGACAUUAGUCAUGUAUGUUAACACAUCAGAUGAAAGCCAGUACAUCAACAGUCAGAGCUUCUGUCCACUUGUUUCUCAAUUGUCUGGCCUUGUGACAGUUAGGAUGCACGGCUGGCUCCUUGAUGCAGAAGACUGUAAAAUGUUUGAUGCUGUGAAGGUGCAUAACCCCAUCUAGGAGUUGAAAAUAUCUUGGCAACUGCUUUUGCACUUUCACCAAUUGUUCAAGACUAAAAACAUUUGAAAGUGUUUUUUUCAUUGCUGUAUGAAUUAUGCACCUGUAUUUCAAAUAAAUAUGUUGUAAAAUUUUUACCACAAUGAAAUAUGUGAAAGGAUUAAGGAAGACAGAAUUAACUAAAUUGAAAAACCUGACCUGCUUUACAAAUAUAUUGUAACUAAGUGAUGCCUUCUACAGAAAAAUGUAUAAUAUGCUUAAAGACUGUUUAAAAUAAAUAUUUCUAUUCAGUUGUUCUGCUUGGAAUUAAAUGAAUUACAUGAAUCAUUUGCCUUUAAAUAUAAUCAAAAAACUAUUUGUAGCAGCACUGCACUAAAAAUAAUAUUGGAUGCUAGAUUUCACUAGUAUUAAAAACUGAUUAAGGCCACUUGUAACUUCAUGCCAGAAACUAUCACAGGACUAGCUAUAGAGGUGGACGGCAGCUGUCCCUCUCAGCAACAACCAGUCGAUAACCUGGUUUAUACCAUUUGCAUGACAGUGAGCAAUCUUAAUCUAGUUUUGCUAGGCAAUGAAGGAAAAACUUCCCUUUGAAUACUAUGAUUUCAAUUUCUCUCUCUCUUUUUGCUCAAUUAUUUAUGGGAAAAAUGAUUUUCUGAGAAAAAUGAUUUUUCAGGGAUUUGGACAUCGUAGGGAAAGGAGUCAAAUAUAUAGCAAAGUUCCAAGUUUGAAUUACACUACUUUUCCCACAAUUGAUACCGCUGGCUUUAACUAAGUCACAAUAUAGUUUUAUGUGUAUAGACUCUGUACUACAGGAGUGAAGACUGUCAGUCUAAGACCGCCAAAGUCUUAGUCCACAAUUUCAAUUAUCUUUGCAGAGCCUGCUACUACAACUUUUGGCUUUAAUGUGGUACCACAAGAAAACCAGAAAAAGGCCACAUUCCAAAAUGUUACCGUCCUAUUUGAACAAUUCAUCCAACAGGAAGACUUCUAUGGAAGUCGAAAAAUAAACAAACAACAUGCCUAAAUUAAGUUUGAAAAGUAGAACUUUAUUAACAAGCACGUGAAAAAGAAAAAACAACAAGCCUUUCUGAAUUCAGCUGCCAUACUCAGACCCGUAAAAUAAGGUAUCUUUAAAUAUGGCAGUCUAUCUUUUUCAGGUCAUUGCCACCAGUAGCCACUGUAACAUAAAUUGUUGCCAUAAACUGAAAAUACUGUAAUUGCUAGUUCAUGUGUUGUCAGUCAGGUAAAAAGUCAAAAGAAUACAAGAGUAACUAAAAUAAAGGAUAAAUUAAAUCUACCAAGUGUUUUUUUUUUUCAAUUCAUAUUAGACUUAAAAUUGUGUUUCAAGAACGUAAAAAAAAAAAAAAA